RNAcentral lists this non-coding RNA (27 nucleotides) under Rattus norvegicus (Norway rat). Lineage: Eukaryota; Metazoa; Chordata; Mammalia; Rodentia; Muridae. The record is from RNAcentral.
CAAGUUCAGAGACCCAAGAGAACAAGC